Molecule: long non-coding RNA, 751 nt
Filed under: Pogona vitticeps (central bearded dragon)
Lineage: Eukaryota; Metazoa; Chordata; Lepidosauria; Squamata; Agamidae
Description: lncRNA (ENSPVIG00000011498.1)
Source: RNAcentral
CUCAAGUAGUUUAACUCAGCUGGUUUACAGAUGGAACUCUGCAGGUUGCUUUCCUCUCAAACAUUUACAUAAUACUGUAGUACCCAACACAAAAAUUACAGUCAUCCUACUCCUCCAUUGUAGUUUUAACUCCCAUUUGCUGUUUCUGGAAAGUCUUUCCAAUCAGUAUGGUAAAUCUGAUGGCACCGGUAUCUGCAUGGUCAUGAAGUGCAGUCUAAAUUUUAGAUGUUUAGAUUGUUUUUCAGGCUCAGUUUUCCGCCCUCCCUGCUCACUGUCAGACAUCGGUGGUUUCAAGCUCAUCUGCUGCUUGUGACCGUCAAGCAGGAAGAUGGGAGCUCUCCACGACAGUGUCAGGAGGCAACGCUGCGCAGAUCUUCGAACAGCAAAUGCCGACAGUGUCAGCAUCAGCUGUCGGUUGCAGAUGGCAUUUCCUUUUCGUCAAAGCCUCUUCCCCUGGGAGGGACCGCUGGCUACAACCUGGCUCCCUGCCUGACUAUCUUUGUUUUGGUCUCUGUUGUUAUGACGUCUAUGGCCAUGAGGUCUAUGGCCAUGAUGUCUAUGAUGGUGCUGUGGUGACGGAGGAGGUACAGCUUCAGCUGCCUCUUCAUCUGUUUUCUUUGAUAUGUUUUUGCAUAAUUCUUCAUCCUCUGCUGUCUGAAAGGAAAGCAUUUAGAAAACUGAAAUGUACACAGUUUCAGAAAACAAGCAUAUAAGGGUCUAUAGGAUUUUAUAUGUCUGCCUGCUAAAUUUU